Scatophagus argus is the source of this 1197-nucleotide long non-coding RNA. RefSeq lists it as uncharacterized. NCBI's taxonomy places the organism in Eukaryota, Metazoa, Chordata, Actinopteri, Scatophagidae. The record is from RefSeq and is a predicted model, not a curated record. The transcript is spliced from 2 exons.
AACAUGAUCCCACGUGGUUAGUAGAAAUACUUCCGCCGUAGAUAGGUGUUUCUGAAAACAACUCGCAGUGAGCAUGCUACCCAUCACCUCUGAUUUGUUAUCUAAAAAUACAUCGAAGAAUUGACGUUAAAAACUCUCAGGAGCUCUAGCAGUAUAAUCACAACAACAAUAAAAAAAACAACAGUUUUACAGUAAUUUUUACCAAAUCCGUUGGUAACAGAGCAGUCGUUGCUUCAGCUGUCAGACCGGUAACCGUCAGUUGGCUCAUACUAGCUUAGUGACGCCGUUAGCAAACCUGUCAGUUAACGUUACGUUAGCUUAAAGUGUGUGACAGCAGGCGUAGGAGAUUAACUAGUUUUCCACAAGCUCAAUGUCACUGUGCAAAAUGAACGCCAGAGUAAUUAUAAUAGAAUGCUUGCGGUUAGUAGUACUCUCAUUACAAAUUCUGGCUGCCCGGCUAAAGCUAGCUAACAAAUUAUCUAUGUAGCAUGCUAGCCGUGGAUAGUUUUAACAGUAGCUAGUAGUCACCAUUAGCCUCUUAGCAGUACGUCCUAAGUUAGCGGGGCUAUGCUAAAACCCACGCGGUACUUGGAGGCAAAGGUUCUUGGGGUGUUCCAUCGCCGUAAUUAAACUGGGGGGGACUAUAUCAGCCAUCGGCAACCAGGGUCCUAGUACGAAGUCAACCGGGCUACCCAGUACCGGAGGACCGGGUACACCACGCACCACUGACCUUGCUGUCUCCGUUGCACAGAGCCAUGGAGGACUGCCGUGUUGAGGAAUGAGCUCUCCCCUUCGCCUCGCUGUCCCAGGUCUCACAGAGAGAGGGCUACUGGUUAGCUCCUGGCUCAGCACGCCGACUACUGUUUCAAAAGCAGGAAGGUUUGUUGGUUUGAAGAUGGGCCGUCUGUCUCUCCUCCUCCGACUGGGGAACAACUUUCGCUGUGGAAACGGACUAAAUAAAUGUGACUGUUUUGAAUGGGAGGAGCGCAAAGUUAAAUCCGAAAAACGAGAGUGGAGGAAGAGCUGUGUUAACCCACCGGGGCAGGGCUGGGUUUACACGGUGAAGUAAAAUUUAACCGUGUGCUUAAUUAAAUUUAUAUAAAAUAUAUCAUAAGUUAAUAUAUGAAGGUAUGUCAGUGGUUUUCACAUGUCCAGAGAGACCCCCCCCCCCCCAUCUGUAGUAAUUAGGAGUGUCCA